UACGUAGGGUGCAAGCGUUAAUCGGAAUUACUGGGCGUAAAGCGUGCGCAGGCGGUUGUGCAAGACCGAUGUGAAAUCCCCGGGCUUAACCUGGGAAUUGCAUUGGUGACUGCACGGCUAGAGUGUGUCAGAGGGGGGUAGAAUUCCACGUGUAGCAGUGAAAUGCGUAGAGAUGUGGAGGAAUACCGAUGGCGAAGGCAGCCCCCUGGGAUAACACUGACGCUCAUGCACGAAAGCGUGGGGAGCAAACAGG
Molecule: ribosomal RNA, 253 nt
Filed under: uncultured bacterium
Lineage: Bacteria
Description: partial 16S ribosomal RNA
Rfam family: Bacterial small subunit ribosomal RNA
Source: RNAcentral